AGCGUUUUUCCGGGGUAAUGGGGGGGUUACGUUUCGGAACGGACGCUAAUACCGCAUACGUCCUACGGGAGAAAGAGGGGACCUUCGGGCCUUGCGCUAUCAGAUGAGCCUAGGUCGGAUUAGCUAGUUGGUGAGGUAAUGGCUCACCAAGGCUACGAUCCGUAACUGGUCUGAGAGGAUGAUCAGUCACACUGGAACUGAGACACGGUCCAGACUCCUACGGGAGGCAGCAGUGGGGAAUAUUGGACAAUGGGCGAAAGCCUGAUCCAGCCAUGCCGCGUGUGUGAAGAAGGUCUUCGGAUUGUAAAGCACUUUAAGUUGGGAGGAAGGGCAUUAACCUAAUACGUUAGUGUUUUGACGUUACCGACAGAAUAAGCACCGGCUAACUACGUGCCAGCAGCCGCGGUAAUACGUAGGGUGCAAGCGUUAAUCGGAAUUACUGGGCGUAAAGCGUGCGCAGGCGGUUAUAUAAGACAGAUGUGAAAUCCCCGGGCUCAACCUGGGAACUGCAUUUGUGACUGUAUAGCUAGAGUACGGCAAAGGGGGAUGGAAUUUCCCGCG
RNAcentral lists this ribosomal RNA (561 nucleotides) under uncultured bacterium. Its description in RNAcentral is "bacterial SSU rRNA". It matches the Rfam family "Bacterial small subunit ribosomal RNA", at positions 120 to 675 of the family's 1533-position model. The record is from RNAcentral.